UGUUCCGCUGUGUCUUCCUCGUCGCGGUC
RNAcentral lists this small RNA (29 nucleotides) under Bombyx mori (domestic silkworm). RNAcentral's name for it is "ovarian small RNA-2320". The record is from RNAcentral. Lineage: Eukaryota; Metazoa; Arthropoda; Insecta; Lepidoptera; Bombycidae.